UAGUGGUAAUAAUAGUAGUAGUAAUAGGAGUAGAGGAGGAGGAGGAGGAAUAGUGGUAAUAAUAGUAGUAGUAAUAGGAGGAGGAGGAGGAGGAAUAGUGGUAAUAGUAGUAGUAAUAGGAGGAGGAGGAGGAAUAGUGGUAAUAAUAGAGGAGGAGGAGGAAUAGUGGUAAUAAUAGUAGUAGUAAUAGGAGGAGGAGGAAUAGUGGUAAUAGUCGGAGGAGGAGGAGAAUAGUGGUAAUAGUAGUAGUAGGAGGAGGAGGAAUAGUGGUAAUAGUAGUAGUAGGAGGAGGAGGAAUAGUGGUAAUAGUAGUAAGUAGAAUAGGAGGAGGAGGAAUAGUGGUAAUAG
Ictalurus punctatus (channel catfish) is the source of this 348-nucleotide long non-coding RNA. The record is from Ensembl. Lineage: Eukaryota; Metazoa; Chordata; Actinopteri; Siluriformes; Ictaluridae.